AGAGUUUGAUCCUGGCUCAGGAUGAACGCUGGCGGUAUGCUUAACACAUGCAAGUCGAACGGUGUCCUUCGGGGCACAGUGGCGGACGGCUGAGUAACACGUGGGUGACCUGCCCUCGAGCGGGGGAUAACUGCCCGAAAGGGUGGCUAAUACCGCAGACAUCGGUGAUUCGGUUCGCCGAUUGAACUCGUGAGGGGUUCGAGGAGGGGCCCGCGGCCGAUUAGCUAGCUGGUGGGGUGACGGCCUACCAGGGCUACGAUCGGUAGCUGGUCUGAGAGGAUGAUCAGCCAGACUGGGACUGCGAACGGCCCAGACUCCUACGGGAGGCAGCAGUGGGGAAUAUUGGACAAUGGGCGCAAGCCUGAUCCAGCCAUGCCGCGUGAGUGAUGAAGGCCCUCGGGUCGUAAAGCUCUGUGGAGAGGGAAGAAUCCGUUCAGCAUCAGAUCCUGAACGUUGACGGUACCUCUUUAGCAAGCACCGGCUAACUCCGUGCCAGCAGCCGCGGUAAUAC
This 511-nucleotide ribosomal RNA is filed under the name uncultured bacterium. RNAcentral's name for it is "bacterial SSU rRNA". It matches the Rfam family "Bacterial small subunit ribosomal RNA", at positions 8 to 526 of the family's 1533-position model. The record is from RNAcentral.